AUGGUAGCUAGACAGGUUUAUCUAGUGGAAACCAAGAGUAGGUUAAACUCAAUUAGACAAUGUAACGGAAAGAUAUCGGAAAUGUCUAAGAAUACCAGGAGUGGUGAAGAAUACUACACAACCAAUAAUGGGUGAAACCCAGUUAUAGUUAAAGUAACAAUGGUUACUUGUAGAGUUGUCAACAUUUUAUUUGGCCCCAAGGCCAGCCCUAACCCCUUUUUUAAUUAGCCCACUAUUUUUGACCCAUGUUAGAGGGGGCUUUUCCAAAGCCCCUGACCCCCACAGCCCCCAGAAAGUGGGUUGAGAGUGAUUUAGGGCCGGGUCAACCCUAUCUCCAAAACAUUGAAAGCUUUAGUUUACUCUAAAAGCCCCACAGUCCCAAGGUACUUUAUUUUUCGACUCUCACACAUUCUCUCUGAUCAAACACUUGCUUAAGAGCUAGCAACCGCAACUCAGGUCNACGACAGACGGCAGUACAGAGUCCACGACAGACGACUGCGCAUGGUGGACGGCAACACACAGUGAACGACGGCACAGAGUAGAGUCAACGACACUUCACGGCAGCGGUGGUACAGGCGGCGAAGAAGAAUCAAGGUUAGCUUCUUUCGAAUACUUUUCGUGUUUUUUCUAAAGAUUGUUGUGAUCCAGUUGAAAUAUUCUACGUUGGAGUUGAUGAGUUGAGGAGAAGGAGUGACGAGAAAUGUAUCAGUGUGGANGAGUCUAGUAUUAAAGAAAUAAAAAUGCAGUAGGAAUAGAAAGAGGGAGAGCAAAAUAGGAUUUAUUGGUUAUGGUUGUGAAAAGAAAAUUUGGGAGAAGGUGGGCUGUGAGAGGAGGGGAG
Molecule: long non-coding RNA, 838 nt
Filed under: Vigna radiata
Lineage: Eukaryota; Viridiplantae; Streptophyta; Magnoliopsida; Fabales; Fabaceae
Description: long non-coding RNA (VRAD_LNC002038)
Source: RNAcentral